RNAcentral lists this ribosomal RNA (495 nucleotides) under uncultured bacterium. Its description in RNAcentral is "partial 16S ribosomal RNA". It matches the Rfam family "Bacterial small subunit ribosomal RNA", at positions 28 to 507 of the family's 1533-position model. The record is from RNAcentral.
GACGAACGCUGGCGGCGUGCCUAAUACAUGCAAGUAGAACGCUGAAGGAGGAGCUUGCUUCUCUGGAUGAGUUGCGAACGGGUGAGUAACGCGUAGGUAACCUGCCUGGUAGCGGGGGAUAACUAUUGGGAACGAUAGCUAAUACCGCAUAACAGUAGAUAUCGCAUGAUAUCUACUUGAAAGGUGCAAUUGCAUCACUACCAGAUGGACCUGCGUUGUAUUAGCUAGUUGGUGAGGUAACGGCUCACCAAGGCGACGAUACAUAGCCGACCUGAGAGGGUGAUCGGCCACACUGGGACUGAGACACGGCCCAGACUCCUACGGGAGGCAGCAGUAGGGAAUCUUCGGCAAUGGACGGAAGUCUGACCGAGCAACGCCGCGUGAGUGAAGAAGGGUUUCGGAUCGUAAAGCUCUGUUGUAAGAGAAGAACGAGUGUGAGAGUGGAAAGUUCACACUGUGACGGUAUCUUACCAGAAAGGGACGGCUAACUACGUG